RNAcentral lists this ribosomal RNA (484 nucleotides) under uncultured bacterium. RNAcentral's name for it is "partial 16S ribosomal RNA". It matches the Rfam family "Bacterial small subunit ribosomal RNA", at positions 30 to 507 of the family's 1533-position model. The record is from RNAcentral.
AUUGAACGCUAGCGGGAUGCUUUACACAUGCAAGUCGAACGGCAGCGCGCACUUCGUUCUGGCUGCUCGUGGCGCACGGGUGUGUAAUGUAUCGGAACGUGCCCAGUAUCGCGGGAUAACUACUCGAGAGCGUAGCUAAUACCGCAUACGCCCUACGCGUGCAACCAGGUGAUCGUUAGACCUUUCCCUCUUUUGGCGGCCGAUUUCGGGCUUGCUAGUUUGUGAGGUAACGGCUUACCAAGGCGGCGAUUCGUAGCUGGAUUGAGAGGACGACCGGCCACAUUGGGAGUGAGACACGGCCCAGACGCCUACGGGAGGCAGCAGUGGGGAAUUUUGGACAAUGGGGGCAACCCUGAUACAGCCAGCCCGCGUGUGAGAUGAAGGCCUUCGGGUUGGAAAGAACUUUUGGGAGGAAAGAAACGUCGCGGGCUAAGACGCAGUGGAAGUGACGGUACCUGCAGAAUAAGCACCGGCUAACUACGUG